RNAcentral lists this ribosomal RNA (492 nucleotides) under uncultured bacterium. RNAcentral describes it as "partial 16S ribosomal RNA". It matches the Rfam family "Bacterial small subunit ribosomal RNA", at positions 29 to 507 of the family's 1533-position model. The record is from RNAcentral.
AGUGAACGCUGGCGGUAGGCCUAACACAUGCAAGUCGAACGGCAGCACAGUAAGAGCUUGCUCUUACGGGUGGCGAGUGGCGGACGGGUGAGGAAUACAUCGGAAUCUACUUUUUCGUGGGGGAUAACGUAGGGAAACUUACGCUAAUACCGCAUACGACCUACGGGUGAAAGCAGGGGAUCUUCGGACCUUGCGCGAUUGAAUGAGCCGAUGUCGGAUUAGCUAGUUGGCGGGGUAAAGGCCCACCAAGGCGACGAUCCGUAGCUGGUCUGAGAGGAUGAACAGCCACACUGGAACUGAGACACGGUCCAGACUCCUACGGGAGGCAGCAGUGGGGAAUAUUGGACAAUGGGCGCAAGCCUGAUCCAGCCAUACCGCGUGGGUGAAGAAGGCCUGCGGGUUGUAAAGCCCUUUUGUUGGGAAAGAAAAGCAGCAGGUUAAUACCCCGCUGUUCUGACGGUACCCAAAGAAUAAGCACCGGCUAACUUCGUG